This 603-nucleotide long non-coding RNA is filed under the name Homo sapiens (human). RNAcentral describes it as "HSALNT0161682". Lineage: Eukaryota; Metazoa; Chordata; Mammalia; Primates; Hominidae. The record is from RNAcentral.
GCGAAUUUAGUUCACUUUGGUAUUGUGUCAAAAUGUUGAUUCUUUUAAAGUAAAUCUAAAGAAUUUAGAUGUAGUUGAAGCUUGUCAUCUGUUCUUGUUUUUUUUUAAUAAAAAUAUAAUAUUUAGAUUCAGAGUAAAUCUAAAAUGAGACCGGAAGCUGCUCCCAGGUGAUACUGAUGCUGCUUAUUUUUGCCCAGAUUUUGAGUCACAAGGUUCUAAAUUAUUGGUUUGAAGUCCUACAUGAGUAAUCACUUGGGGAGCUCAAUUAACACCCAGCAACAGACUAAUUAUUAAUAAACCAGAAUCUUCAGUAUUAGGCUUCAAUCAUUGGCAAUUUUUUUUUUUUUUGACACACAGUCUCCCACUGUCACCCAGGCUGAACUCCUGAGGCCAGAAUGAGACUAGGACAUGGUUCCUUUGCCUAAGUAAAGUGAGGCAGACAAUGGAAUACUUCAGACUUCAAAUUAGUAUGAUUUUCAAAACGUCAUACCUCGAACCACCACCAGAUGGCGAUGAGAAUGUUACAAAUAUUGUGCCACCAUAUAAUGCUUUCUCAGGCCAAGGCAUGCCAGAGGUAAAAUAAAAUACAUUUGUAACCCAAGU